UGCCAGGAGUUCGCCAUUUUUGUCGGGC
Molecule: non-coding RNA, 28 nt
Filed under: Bombyx mori (domestic silkworm)
Lineage: Eukaryota; Metazoa; Arthropoda; Insecta; Lepidoptera; Bombycidae
Source: RNAcentral